RNAcentral lists this ribosomal RNA (292 nucleotides) under uncultured bacterium. Its description in RNAcentral is "partial 16S ribosomal RNA". It matches the Rfam family "Bacterial small subunit ribosomal RNA", at positions 505 to 796 of the family's 1533-position model. The record is from RNAcentral.
GUGCCAGCCGCCGCGGUAAUACGGGGGGUGCAAGCGUUACUCGGAAUCACUGGGCGUAAAGGGAGCGUAGGCGUCUUGUUAAGUCUUGAGUGAAAGCCCGCAGCUCAACUGCGGAACUGCUUGGGAAACUGACAAGAUUGAGUAUGGAAGAGGUAGGUGGAAUUUCCAGUGUAGGGGUAAAAUCCGUAGAUAUUGGAAGGAAUACCAGAAGCGAAGGCGACCUACUGGGACAUUACUGACGCUGAGGCUCGAAAGCGUGGGGAGCAAACAGGAUUAGAUACCCCCGUAGUCC